RNAcentral lists this ribosomal RNA (353 nucleotides) under Penaeus semisulcatus. RNAcentral's name for it is "partial small subunit ribosomal RNA". It matches the Rfam family "Bacterial large subunit ribosomal RNA", at positions 2051 to 2603 of the family's 2925-position model. Lineage: Eukaryota; Metazoa; Arthropoda; Malacostraca; Decapoda; Penaeidae. The record is from RNAcentral.
AAGUGAAAAGGCUUAAAUGGAUUAGGGGGACGAUAAGACCCUAUAAAGCUUGACAAUAAGUUAAUUAUAUUAUAAAUUGUUAGUAUAACUUGAUUUUAAUUGACGUUUGUUACGUUGGGGCGACGAGAAUAUAAUGAGUAACUGUUCUUAAAUAUUUAAUGACAAAUAUAAUUGGUAUUUGAUUGAUCCUUUAUUAAAGAUUAAAAGAUUAAGUUACUUUAGGGAUAACAGCGUAAUCUUCUUUGAGAGUUCAUAUCGACAAGAAGGUUUGCGACCUCGAUGUUGAAUUAAGGUAUCCUUAUGAUGCAGCAGUUAUAAAGGAAGGUCUGUUCGACCUUUAAAUCCUUACAUGA